This 443-nucleotide ribosomal RNA is filed under the name uncultured cyanobacterium. Its description in RNAcentral is "bacterial SSU rRNA". It matches the Rfam family "Bacterial small subunit ribosomal RNA", at positions 351 to 809 of the family's 1533-position model. Lineage: Bacteria; Bacillati; Cyanobacteriota. The record is from RNAcentral.
GCAGUGGGGAAUUUUCCGCAAUGGGCGAAAGCCUGACGGAGCAACGCCGCGUGAGGGAUGAAGGCCUCUGGGCUGUAAACCUCUUUUCUCAAGGAAGAAGAUCUGACGGUACUUGAGGAAUAAGCCACGGCUAAUUCCGUGCCAGCAGCCGCGGUAAUACGGGAGUGGCAAGCGUUAUCCGGAAUUAUUGGGCGUAAAGCGUCCGCAGGCGGCCCUUCAAGUCUGCUGUUAAAACGUGGAGCUUAACUCCAUCAUGGCAGUGGAAACUGUUGGGCUUGAGUGUGGUAGGGGCAGAGGGAAUUCCCGGUGUAGCGGUGAAAUGCGUAGAUAUCGGGAAGAACACCAGUGGCGAAGGCGCUCUGCUGGGCCAUAACUGACGCUCAUGGACGAAAGCCAGGGGAGCGAAAGGGAUUAGAUACCCCUGUAGUCCUGGCCGUAAACGA